UACGGGGGGGGCAAGCGUUGUUCGGAAUUACUGGGCGUAAAGGGCUCGUAGGCGGCCAACUAAGUCGGACGUGAAAUCCCUCGGCUUAACCGGGGAACUGCGUCCGAUACUGGAUGGCUUGAGUAUGGGAGAGGGAUGCGGAAUUCCAGGUGUAGCGGUGAAAUGCGUAGAUAUCGGAAGGAACAUCAGUGGCGAAAGCGACUUCCUGGACCAAUACUGACGCUCAUGUGCGAAAGCGUGGGGAGCAAACAGG
This 253-nucleotide ribosomal RNA is filed under the name uncultured bacterium. Its description in RNAcentral is "partial 16S ribosomal RNA". It matches the Rfam family "Bacterial small subunit ribosomal RNA", at positions 524 to 776 of the family's 1533-position model. The record is from RNAcentral.